Long non-coding RNA from Spinacia oleracea (spinach), 3371 nucleotides. RefSeq lists it as uncharacterized. NCBI's taxonomy places the organism in Eukaryota, Viridiplantae, Streptophyta, Magnoliopsida, Caryophyllales, Amaranthaceae. The record is from RefSeq and is a predicted model, not a curated record. The transcript is spliced from 4 exons.
UAGAUACACUCGACUGCAUAAUUGUGUUUAUGACAUUUGAGCCUUCUAAAAUGCUCUCCAAUAUUUGGGGUUGCUUGCAUAAGGCAACUUUAAGGUCGAUGCAAUGAUUCUAUUAAAAGAAACAAAAAAUAUUGAUGAUGUUCAGGUUUACGUUCUAUGUUCUUGUCCAUAACCGCUUUAUGUUAAACGGAGUAAUUGAAGAUGGAAAUAUGCAGUGCCUCCAAAUCCCAGAAUUGAACUGAGAGAGUUAAUCUACUUAACUACCACGCCGGCGAUUGCACCCCAACUGUUCGACAAAAUGCCGAGACGAACUUUUAUCACCUGCAAAACCCAUGUUUACUGGGCACACCAGUCCCCAAAUCAGGAUAAUGAUGGUAGCUCAACUAUGAUCUAGCAGAACACAAGAGUUAUUUUGUGUGUCUACAUCAACAUCAAGAUUAGCAAGCAUUAACCGUUAAGGUGCAACCAGGGGCGUACAGGAUGUGACUACUUUGAUACCUAUCACAGGUACAAAUCACUCUUUCAUAUCUCUUGUCUUCCAUUAGUUUGUUGUUAUGCAAUUGUGAUCUAUAUAUGCAAUGUGGAAUAAACAGAUUACAUCAUUUACAUGUGUAUGUAGAAAUCUAUUUGUUGUUGCUCUUCGUGUCACUGUCAUCUUCAUAUUCAGUUGCUAGUCUAUUGACUUGUUUGGGUUUCUCUUUAUCCUCCUCUAAAUCCCAUUUGUUUGUGUCUUCCUCUAUUCCUCUUUCUUUAUAUUUCCAGUAAACCAUCAGUUGGAAGAUGCCCAAGAUAAUUCCAACCAAGUUAGGUGACUGCCAAACGGUCAAGAUUCAAGUUAGAAGAACCAAAAUGCAUUUUACAAAAUAUGUAAAAAUACUAAAGGUUCAUGAUAUACUUUUGGUAAAUAUAAGUUCCUAUGGGGAAAAAAUAAUGAACUGAAAAAGACGAGAGAGUGGCAAGUGAGAUCAGGGGAGUUCACAAACCGUGAUGAAAAAAUCAUGGCUCAGUAGUCCAUAGCAUCCCCAGAAGCAACUAGAAAGGAGAGUGAAGAAUGACAGAUAAAAUGGCAUGAAUUCCACGCUUUUGGUUGCUAUCACUUGCUUCUGCGGUAAUAUAUCCAGGUAAGAUGUUAAUUCCUUGCCAAAAGGUCCCAAGAUUUGUUAUUUUCUGAGAAGUGCAUGUCAAUGAUUGAUAGGUAAACACGACAGAUUUUGGGGCUUUACUAACAUGAGAAUGUAUGUCAAAAUAUGAUAGAUUUUAGAUUACAUGAUAUUUUGCUACCAUGCAAUCAUGUAGUGCUUUAACUGAUAAGCAUGUCUGUUAAGAACCUGUGAUAAUUUAAGAGAGCAUGAUGGGUUAUGAAGACUCACCACAGCAACAAGAGGGGCACCAUAUAGUGCUAUCGAAGUUACCAGCCCUACACUUCCAACAAAUAUUUUCCUUUUAUGAUGGUCAUGCAACAGUAAGGCAGAGAUUAGUGCUGUGGCUACGAAUAGUGCAAGAAAAGUCAUUGUUAAUGCUGCAACUUUCACCUGCAUCAUGUCAUGGAAUUAUUAUCACAAACUCUGUGCAUGACCAUCUUCACUGACUUGUUUUUGAAUGAUAAACAAAAAAAGUUCUGGCUCCUAGAAGUAUCAAAAGAUACUAAGGAUGUUUGAAAUGACUGACCUUUUCCCUUGUUGAAGUUAAGGAAAGAUAGACGAGGACAAAACAGGAUUCCAGUAGGACACCUAGGCCAUUGACGGUGGUGAGGGAGACAUUUUCCCAUCCUUUGCUUACAAUAGGUAAGCCGUACCAAGUGUAAAGGAGAGCGUUGAGUAGAGCAACAAUGUAUGGGACAUAUGAAAACCCUUGAGUGCUCUUCUUCUUUAUGAUUGUUGAAAAUGUUAAUCUGGGAAAACAUUGAAUUUUGAAGUUAUUUGAGAAUUUUGAUAGCUUCUAAUCUUGGACUAAAAGAAUGAGAAAAAAUUUAGGUUGAUGAAACAAUUGGGUGGAGUUUCACAGUACAUGGGUGAUGCAUAAAGUAACGCAGAAGCCAAGUUUCCUGCAAAAGAAAAUAUAUAAGGUUAAACUUUUUUAGCUACUCAUUUAGUUAACAGGGGUUUGAGAAUAGGGAUGUACCCAAAACUCCAACAGCUAUCCGCAGUUUAUCCCCCAUGUUAUCACCCUAACGAUCCUGGGGGUAAUGGCUGUGUGAUAGUACGCUCAACAAAUAUUUAUUGUUAAUGCAGCAUGAUCUGUUUGGCAGCCUUUGAUUGAUAUAAAUAGCCAAAGAUUGUGCUAAAGUUGUACGAUAUAAAAAUAUUGGGAGCAUAAACUUCCUUUUUCAAAAAUUAUUCUGGUCAUAAUACUUUAGUAUGGUAGAAAAGGAAGAUGGUAAUGGUGGUGGAGCAACAUGUAAUGAACUGUUAUGUUCUGAUUCUGAGUAAAAAACAUACAUGGCUAAUAAUAUUGUUCAUAUAUUUGAGUUUCCUUUACUAGAAUUCCCCCUUUUUACUGUCAAUGGAAAUUCAUAUUUUCUCGUGCUCUUCUCGUAGCACUUUGGAACUAGCUGUGAGUGUGAAAAUUAUAGUAUAAUAUGUUUAGAAGAAAAGUGAUUACAAAUUUGGGCAGUAAGAUGAUUGCAGGUGCCUUACAAGAAACUAGUGUGUGGUGAAUUGCGAUCUUUUAGCAACCAAACCAGUUUUAGCAGUUAAGGUGUAGUUGGAGAAAUGACCUAAACCAUUGUGGAAAGUGGAAUCAAUGGUAAUUGGGUUUGACAGGGGCGGCCAAUCUGACUUGACAGUAGGCUAAACUUCUUUGAAGAAAUGGUUAUGUCAGACUAUCUGUCAGAGUAAACACUGGGAAGAAAAUGGACUUUCUGUAAAAGCAGACAGAAAUAACAAAUCCUGACGUGAUAAUGGGUGUGGAAUCCUGCAACAGCAAGUAAAAGCUUUGUGUCUACAACUUUGAAUCCACAUUUUAAUUUUGUCGGAUUCAUUUGCGAAACUCGGAGCUUGGUGAAAUGGUUAAAUACACCGUACAUAGUACACAACAAAGUGGGAUCGCGAUAAGGGUUUUGGUUCGUUUACUAGAGACUUCACUUGGUGUUUAAGUACAAUAUCUUCUGUUAUGAUGAGUGGAAAGCUGAACUCCACCAUUUCCAGGUGAAUGGAAACCACAUUGACAGUUUACUCUGUUGUUUCUUUCUUUCUUUAUUUCUGAUGCCACUUUUUUUGUAAUCUGAUCUUUCUUUUUUCCCUCAAUCCUGUAAUUGUUCUUUUGUAGGACAAAGUGCAUAUAUACUCCAAAUAAGUGGUGAUUAUUAAACGCCAUCAUGAUCUUAGUGUUAAUGGUAUUUUGGUAUAAUAUUUCAGGAUCUUUUUAUUUUA